Long non-coding RNA from Tachysurus fulvidraco (yellow catfish), 507 nucleotides. RefSeq lists it as uncharacterized. The transcript is spliced from 4 exons. NCBI's taxonomy places the organism in Eukaryota, Metazoa, Chordata, Actinopteri, Siluriformes, Bagridae. The record is from RefSeq and is a predicted model, not a curated record.
CAGAAACUGACUUCCACGUUACUGUCACAUCAGACCAAGGAGAGAAAGCUGUAAAUAACUGUAGGGUUUUCAGGUCAUCCAGUUACUGGGUUCAUAAACAAUGAAAGUUGAAACUAGACAACUAUAACGGAAACUAACAAUGGAGCUGAACAGAGAAGGAGAAACGCUUUAUAACAGUGAGAGAGACAGUGACAGUCAGGAACUUCAUAGUCGUUCAGUGACAUCUUACGAGCGCACGGAGACAGAUGCAUCUAUGGACCGGGACACCAGUUUUACUAAAGAAGAACCAGAUCAUUCCAACAGUUCACAAGAAAAAGAAAAGAAGAUAAAAAAGAAUGAAGAAGGACAGGAGAAGAAAAACAUGUCUUACAAGUUAAAGGAAAUGAAAGAAAGCAACACCAGACUUAAGGGACAGUUAGAGCAAGUGACUACACAGUUGACUGAAAAGGAAAAGGAGAGCAAUAGACUUAAGGGACAGUUGGAGGAAGUGACUAGAAGGUUGACUGA